This 447-nucleotide ribosomal RNA is filed under the name uncultured bacterium. RNAcentral's name for it is "partial 16S ribosomal RNA". It matches the Rfam family "Bacterial small subunit ribosomal RNA", at positions 29 to 523 of the family's 1533-position model. The record is from RNAcentral.
AACGAACGCUGGCGGCAGGCUUAACACAUGCAAGUCGAACGCCCCGCAAGGGGAGUGGCAGACGGGUGAGUAACGCGUGGGAACAUACCCUUUCCUGCGGAAUAGCUCUGGGAAACUGGAAUUAAUACCGCAUACGCCCUAAGGGGGAAAGAUUUAUCGGGGAAGGAUUGGCCCGCGUUGGAUUAGCUGGUUGGGGGGGUAAAGGCCUACCAAGGCGACGAUCCAUAGCUGGUCUGAGAGGAUGAUCAGCCACAUUGGGACUGAGACACGGCCCAGACUCCUACGGGAGGCAGCAGUGGGGAAUAUUGGACAAUGGGCGCAAGCCUGAUCCAGCCAUGCCGCGUGAGUGAUGAAGGCCUUAGGGUUGUAAAGCUCUUUCACCGAUGAAGAUAAUGACGGUAGUCGGAGAAGAAGCCCCGGCUAACUUCGUGCCAGCAGCCGCGGUAA